AUAAUUGCCUAUAUACCCCUUAAAACUUAAAAAAUUUCUAAUUUGCCCCUAUUUUUUUUUAUUUUCAAUAUACUUCUCAUAUGUUUCUCCGUUAUUCAAAAAUAUUCAUGCUUAAACGCAAGUUAAAUGUCUAACAGAGUUAAAAAAAUCAAAAUACCUCUUUUGUCCUUAACUUAAGAACAAAUAAGAAAAGUUGGUGAUGGUAAAAGAAUAUUUUUGAAAAAACCAAAAAUUAAAAUACUUCUAUUGUCCCUAACUUAAGAGCAAAUAAGAAAAGUUUGUGAUGGCAGAACGACAUAUUUAAAAAGGCAAAAUAGUAAUUUUAUAGAGAUAACGGAUAUUGCUAAUAGUUCACUAACAUAAUUUAACUCUAGCAGUAUAUUUGAAAUAACUUGGAACAUAAAAGAGUAUUUUUAAUAUUAGCCCUCUAAGGCUUCGUUUGGAAUUGCGGGGAGAUUGCGUUCCGUACAUAAUAUUACGUUCCACAUAUUGCGAUUCGUCGGUUACGAUAUAUUUUCUGUUGUUCCAUCGAAGAACGCAGAAGCAUAUCCCUAUUUGCUUUUACUUCAACUCUAUUUUAUCUAAUAACAUUAGAUAGACAUCAAUACCAAACUAAGACUUAAGAGAGAUAAAUUAGAAAGUUGAAAAUUUUUUAGGAGUAUAUGAGCCGUCACCCCUAAUAUUAAAAUGGCAGAAUAAGACAAAAUAGGGUCCACAAU
RNAcentral lists this long non-coding RNA (719 nucleotides) under Ananas comosus (pineapple). RNAcentral describes it as "long non-coding RNA (ACOM_LNC017141)". The record is from RNAcentral. Lineage: Eukaryota; Viridiplantae; Streptophyta; Magnoliopsida; Poales; Bromeliaceae.